This 296-nucleotide signal recognition particle RNA is filed under the name Heterocephalus glaber (naked mole-rat). Its description in RNAcentral is "Metazoan signal recognition particle RNA". It matches the Rfam family "Metazoan signal recognition particle RNA". Rfam says of the family: The signal recognition particle (SRP) is a universally conserved ribonucleoprotein. Lineage: Eukaryota; Metazoa; Chordata; Mammalia; Rodentia; Bathyergidae. The record is from Rfam by way of RNAcentral.
GCCGGGCGUGGUGGCGCACGCCUAUAGUCCCAGCUACUCGGGAGGCUGAGGUGGGAGGAUCGCUUUAGUCCAGGAGUUCUGGGCUGCAGUGCGCUAUGCCGAUCUGGUGUCCGCACUAAGUUCGGCAUCAAUAUGGUGACCUCCCGGGAGCGGGGGACCAACAGGUUGCCUAAGGAGAGACAAAAGGAAUAUGGCCGGGGCAGGGAGAGUCUUUUGUAGAGACAGGGGUGGGGUUUGUAGGGGCAGAGGUGGGGUUGAGUGAGGUAGUGACUAGGGAAUGGAGGAGCCCAUGUUGU